GUCAAGUCCUCAUGGCCCUUACGCCCAGGGUGGCAAACGUGCUACAAUGGCGUGUACAAAGCGAUGCAAUAUCGUGAGAUGGAGCAAAUCGCAAAAAGCACGCCCCAGUUCGGAUUGGAGUCUGCAACUCGACUCCAUGAAGCCGGAAUCGCUAGUAAUCGGAGAUCAGCCACGCUCCGGUGAAUACGUUCCUGAGCCUUGUACACACCGC
This 211-nucleotide ribosomal RNA is filed under the name uncultured Phaeocystis. RNAcentral describes it as "partial Bacterial small subunit ribosomal RNA". It matches the Rfam family "Bacterial small subunit ribosomal RNA", at positions 1184 to 1393 of the family's 1533-position model. Lineage: Eukaryota; Haptophyta; Phaeocystales; Phaeocystaceae. The record is from RNAcentral.